GAUGAACGCUGGCGGCGUGCCUAAUACAUGCAAGUCGAGCGAACAGAUGAGGAGCUUGCUCCUCUGACGUUAGCGGCGGACGGGAGAGUAACACGUGGAUAACCUACCUAUAAGACUGGGAUAACUUCGGGAAACCGGAGCUAAUACCGGAUAAUAUAUUGAACCGCAUGGUUCAAUGGUGAAAGACGGUUUUGCGGUCACUUAUAGAUGGAUCCGAGCCGCAUUAGCUAGUUGGUAAGGUAACGGCUUACCAAGGCAACGAUGCGUAGCCGACGUGAGAGGGUGAUCGGCCACACUGGAACUGAGACACGGUCCAGACUCCUACGGGAGGCAGCAGUAGGGAAUCUUCCGCAAUGGGCGAAAGCCUGACGGAGCAACGCCGCGUGAGUGAUGAAGGUCUUCGGAUCGUAAAACUCUGUUAUUAGUGAAGAACAAAUGUGUAAGUAACUAUGCACGUCUUGACGGUACCUAAUCAGAAAGCCACGGCUAACUACGUG
Molecule: ribosomal RNA, 497 nt
Filed under: uncultured bacterium
Lineage: Bacteria
Description: partial 16S ribosomal RNA
Rfam family: Bacterial small subunit ribosomal RNA
Source: RNAcentral